GAGACUAGUUUGGCCCCCCGACGGCCGCCGUAGUGCGUCGCCUUUGUUGCCGUGGGAAACGACCUGAGACCUGGGAGGGAGGAAAGACGUUUCCCGCCGGCGGGAGCUGCGGUUGUGGCGGCUGGAGCAGCUCAAAGGCGGCGGAGCCCAGCGCCGCAGCACCAUGGCUGACCAGCUUUAUUUGGAAAACAUAGACGAGUUCGUCACGGACCAGAACAAGAUCGUGACGUACAAAUGGCUGAGCUUUACACUAGGGGUUCAUGUUAACCAGGCCAAACAGAUGCUGUAUGAUUAUGUUGAAAGGAAGCGAAAGGAAAAUUCAGGAGCCCAACUGCAUGUCACCUAUUUAGUGUCUGGCAGUCUGGUUCAGAAUGGAUAUUCCUGCCACAAGGUAGCAGUAGUGAGAGAAGAUAAAUUGGAAGCAGUGAAGUCCAAGCUAGCUGUGACUGCCAGCAUCCAUGUGUACAGCAUCCAGAAAGCCAUGUUAAAGGACAGUGGGCCUCUGUUCAAUACCGACUAUGACAUCCUUAAAAGCAACUUGCAGAACUGCAGCAAGUUUAGUGCCAUACGGUGUGCAGCUGCAGUCCCUAGAGCUCCUGUGGAAUCCUCAUCUUCUGAAAAGUUUGAGCAGUCAAAUCUUCAGGCAUCAAGUGAGACACAAGCCCAUGAAUUGAAGACCAAUGGUCAUGGCCCACCUACCUCCAAACAGAUUUCUCAGCAGCCUAAAGGAAUUAUGGGAAUGUUUGCCUCUAAAGCUGCUUCUAAAACCCAAGAUACCAACAAGGAAACCAAAACAGAGGCUAAAGAAGUAACAAAUGCAUCUUCAGCAGGCAGUAAGGCACCAGCGAAAGGGAAUGUGAUGAGCAAUUUUUUUGGAAAAGCUGCUCUAAAUAAACUUAAAGUUAAUUUGGAUUCAGAACAAGUAGUGAAAGAAGAAAAAAUAGUGGAGCAACCUCCAGUGUCUGUCAUUGAACCAAAGCUGGCAGCCCCUGCAGGCCUGAAGAAAUCCAGCAAAAAAGCAGAGCCUGUUAAGAUGCAGCAGAAGGAAAAAAAAAGGGGGAAGCGAGUGGAGUUAUCUGAUGAUGAAACAAAAGAAACUGAAAACUUGAGAAAAAAGAGAAGAAGAAUCAAACUUCCUGAGUCUGAUAGCAGCGAAGAUGAAGUCAUUCCGGACUCUCCUGGGGUUUAUGAAGCUGAGUCUCCAUCUCCACCUCCUCCUCCUUCUCCAUCUCCUGAACCAGUGCCCAAGACUGAGCCAGAACCGCCUCCUGUCAAGAGCUCAAGUGGAGAAAAAAGAAAACGAAAGCGUGUGCUGAAAUCUAAAACCUUUGUGGAUGAGGAAGGCUGCAUAGUGACUGAAAAAGUCUUUGAGAGUGAAUCCUGCACAGACAGUGAAGAGGAGCUUGAGACAAAGACCUCCUCUGUACACAGACCCCCUCUCAUGACUGUGAAAAAAGAAUCCAAAGAGGACCGUAAGGGCCCCAAAAAAGGGACUACUGCUCUGGGCAAAAUCAACAGACAAGUGUCCAUUACCGGCUUCUUCCAGAGGAAGUGAGCUGCCUUCUCUGUUAGGUCAGAGGUGUGGAAUGGUCAAGGGAGAAGACCAAGACGUACAGACUCUCGCUUACUGUACGGCACAUUGGAUUAUGAAAACUGGUGCUGUGACAAAGUGAAGAAGAAGAGCUGGUGAACCCAGUGUUUCCAUGGGCAUCCUUGUGGUUCCACUUACCUGUCCAAUCCGUGACUCCCCUUUGAUCCACCAGCACUCCUACCUUUCAGGUAGACUGCCGUGUCAUUCUGCAUGCAUUCUGUACUCUUCUUCCAGGCACAUUUCUAUUUGAAAUUCACAGUUUAGGGGAAAGCCAGUGGUCUGAAUGUACAUUCUAUUUCCCCAAGUACAGACAUGAGAGGGUGCCUUUAUAAAUGAAAAAAAAAAAAAAUUUCCAGCAGCAGAGAGGCUUCCCCCUGCUUCCCACAGUGAUGUAUGGGGUGCUCAGGCAAUAGUCAUGCCUGCAGUUUGAGUCCAUCUGUUUUCUCUGUUCAUCUCUUGAGUACUGUCCCCUUGUGGUUUGCAUCAUUCCCAGAGACCAGCCAACUCCAACCCUCCUCAAUCCAUUUGGUCAAUAGCUGUCUUAUUUAAACACACUCCCUCUCUCUUUGGGCGCCAGAUGUGAAGUUUCAAGGGAGUAGAGGCCAGGCUGGCUAACGCUGUGACACCUGCUUUAGCAAGCAAGCCAGUCAGCUGCUGCCUCUGAUGAUGUUGGCCCUUUUUCAUGGACAGCAUGAGGGUUUCACCCUACCAAGCACACACACAGGCAGCUGAGGGAGCCUCAUAAAUUAUGGUUUUGUUUGUUUACUCAGGGCAGGCAGCGUGGUGUAGUGGAAAGAGCCCUGCACUUUGAAGCAGAAAACAUGGAUCUAAGUCCUCACGGGUUACAUGACUUUGUGUUCGGAGCACCUCUUUCUUCAUAGAUAUAUGAUAUCUGAGAUAGUGAUAACUGCCCUUUGUUUAUCUGCUUAUUGGCCAUCUCCACCACCACCAUGUAAGUCCUAGGAGGUCAGGGGCUAUCUUGACAACCAUUGUAUCUCUAGCACCUAGGACAGUGACUGGAAUAUAGUAGGUUCUUAGAAAAAAAUUAUUGAAUGAAUGAAUGAAUUCAAAAACUGCCUCUUCUACUGACUGGCCAUGUGAUCGUGGAAGAGUCAUUUAUUAUCUCUGGGUGAUAGUUUUGUCAGCUGUGAAAUGAAGGCAUUAGAUCCCUAUCUCUGAUGCUCGAAACUAUAAGGAUCCACUCAGUUAUCAGAGUACCUCAGGUCUCUCUCCUGGACACUCUUCCAAGCCCUAAAAAUACACAGCCAUGAACAAGUCAAAAACAGAACCUGCCCUCAGGGACAUUGGAAAGGGAGAGGCCACCAGAUAAAUAAUGGUGUAAACAGAUAUUUCAGGACCAUUGUGGAAAGUCUUAGAAAGAAUCUGCAGAGGACACUGUGAGAGGAUGUAAUUAAUAGAGGGGCCUAACCAUGUUGGGGGUUAUCUAGGAAGAUAUUCUGGUGAAAGUGACAUUAAAGAUCGGAUUUAACAGAUAAGUAGGAAUUGGCCAGGCAGAAGGAGUAUGGGAUUUCAGGCCGAGGGAAAAACAUGUGUGAAGGCCCCACGGAGGAGUGUGGCUGGAGGACAGUGACUGACAGGGGGACUGUGCCCAAAAUAAGGCUAGAGGGUAGGCUGGGCUAGACUGUUGGGAGCUCUGUGGCUGUGGUAAGGAUUUUGUCAUUCUAAAGGCAAAGGGAAGCCAAUGAAGACAAUUCCUAUCAUUACCGAAAGCUCACUAGUAUAGACAAAAGGGAAAGGUCCUCUCCUUACAUGCCUUUCCAAGGUAGGUAGGCUGACUAUUACCCCAUUUUAUUGAUGUGGAAACAGGCCCCGGGAGGUUAGGUGAUUUACCAAGGCCAUCAUACAAGUCAUUGGUGGGGUUUGAUUUCUGAAAUUUUAGUCCAUUCCUCUCAAUGCUCCACCACAUUACAGAGUAGAGAGCUUUUUUUUUAACCCAGAUCUCCAAAUGGCUAAAUUUUGGACCUAAGUACCUUGUAAUAAUAACUCAUCUGAAAAUUGCAUGUCUCAUAAGUAACUUAAGCAAGUCUGAUAGAGACAAAUUUCUCCUGAAUAUUAUGUUUGCAUUUUGGGUAACUACUUGCAUUUUGAUAUAUAGCUGACCUUAAGUAAUGUGGAGGUGAGGAGUGAUGACCCCUUGCACAGUCAGAAAUCCAUGUAUAACUUUUGACUCCCCAAAAAGUUUAGUACUAAGAGCCUACUGUUGACCAAAAGCCUUCCUGAGAACAUAGUCAACUAACAUGUAUUUUGUAUGAUAUAUGUAUUAUAUAUUGCAUUCUUACAAUAAAGUAAGCUAGAGAAAACAAUCUUUUUUUCAAAUUAUCUCAAAUCUCAAAAAUUUUUCCUAUAUAUUUGUUGAAAAAAAUCUGCAUAUAAAUGUACCCAUUAAGUGCAAACCUGUGUUGUUCAAGGGGCAACUGUAUUUUAAAUUAUCCUUAGCAUAGAUUCCUAGGAAUAGAAUUACUGUAUCAAAGGCAUACGUUUUUAAGCAACUUUUGACAUACAUUGCCAAAUUGCCCUAAGGUUGUACUGAUUUUGAUGCUCAUCACUAGUACAUGAGAAUGACUUUCUCAAUGCUUCAAGUAAUGGAGACCAACCUAAUUUCUUAAGCAAAACUAAGUUUCCAGUUAUACUCAUUUUGUUCACUUAGAGAGAGGAAAUACAACUAGGCUUUGACAUUUGUAACUGAGGAAAGAAGAUGAAGCUAUGGAGAUAGUGCCCAAGGGAGGCGGGAAGCUCCCCAAGGCUAGAAGAAAGCCAAAAGAUGCCUCACAUGGGUCUGGUCUUUCACGGACAGGCAUUCGUGUGUGUGAACCUGCUGCUGCUGCUCAGAACUUCUUGUGGUUCUUGGAGACAUAAGCAGGGUCUGUGAAGCUGGUAGAACUCUGUGGAUUGGGGACCCUAAAAGUACUGAGAAGGAAGAAAACUCUUCUCUAGCAGAAGAUGAGUUGGUGAGGAGGGCAGUGGUGAGUUAUCACUGCCAGUAGAACUGAGAGAGUAUCAGCUUGGGCUUGUUAGCUCAGUGAAUGAGCACAUGGGCCCAAGAGCCAGAGAUUGUGGUGGCUGUUACCCUCACUUGCGCUGAGGUGAUGGACCUGUGUCCUUAUCUCUACAGUGUCUUGCACAGAAUAGGUGCUCUGGGAAUGUUUCAGAGCCAAGCCACAUUUUCAUUUAACAGUAAUUUGCUGUUAAUUCAAUAAAUAUUUAAUGCACUAGGCAGUGGAAAUAAAGUAAAGAUUAGGACAACAUGAUUCAUACCCCCACAGAGCUCACAGCUUAUGAGGGUUAACUUAUGAUAGGUAAUAAGUGAUUAUAGUGCAUUAAGAGAAGGGCUAUGAGAGGGGAAACCAUGGUAUCAUAUAAGUAUGUAGCAGAGGUCCCAUGUCCAGAUUUGGCAGAUAUGAUAAGACUACAGGAUAAAUUCAGUGAGGACAUGGUGUAUAUACUUUGUUCACUGCUAUAUUCCAGUACCUGUUCCAUGAUGGGUCCUCCAUAAACAUUUGUAAAUGAAUGAAAAAAAGAAUGAAUAAAGUAAUGUAUGAAUCGGUAAACCAAGUCAAGCAUAGGAAUAAUGUUCCAUACAGAGAUAAAGGCAGUAUACAGGCCUGGAA
This is an RNA transcript of Manis pentadactyla (Chinese pangolin), 5220 nucleotides long. It is a transcript of the gene named DNA polymerase delta 3, accessory subunit, with no coding region annotated. NCBI's taxonomy places the organism in Eukaryota, Metazoa, Chordata, Mammalia, Pholidota, Manidae. The transcript has 13 exons. The record is from RefSeq and is a predicted model, not a curated record.